UAGGGAAUCUUCCACAAUGGACGCAAGUCUGAUGGAGCAACGCCGCGUGAGUGAAGAAGGUCUUCGGAUCGUAAAGCUCUGUUGUUGGUGAAGAAGGAUAGAGGCAGUAACUGGUCUUUAUUUGACGGUAAUCAACCAGAAAGUCACGGCUAACUACGUGCCAGCAGCCGCGGUAAUACGUAGGUGGCAAGCGUUGUCCGGAUUUAUUGGGCGUAAAGCGAGCGCAGGCGGAAUGAUAAGUCUGAUGUGAAAGCCCACGGCUCAACCGUGGAACUGCAUCGGAAACUGUCGUUCUUGAGUGCAGAAGAGGAGAGUGGAACUCCAUGUGUAGCGGUGGAAUGCGUAGAUAUAUGGAAGAACACCAGUGGCGAAGGCGGCUCUCUGGUCUGCAACUGACGCUGAGGCUCGAAAGCAUGGGUAGCGAACAGGAUUAGAUACCCUGGUAGUCCAUGCCGCAAACGAUGAAUACUAAGUGUUGGAGGGUUUCCGCCCUUCAGUGCUGCAGCUAACGCAUUAAGUAUUCCGCCUGGGGAGUACGACCGCAAGGUUGAAAC
This 554-nucleotide ribosomal RNA is filed under the name uncultured bacterium. Its description in RNAcentral is "partial 16S ribosomal RNA". It matches the Rfam family "Bacterial small subunit ribosomal RNA", at positions 355 to 900 of the family's 1533-position model. The record is from RNAcentral.